This 253-nucleotide ribosomal RNA is filed under the name uncultured bacterium. Its description in RNAcentral is "partial 16S ribosomal RNA". It matches the Rfam family "Bacterial small subunit ribosomal RNA", at positions 524 to 776 of the family's 1533-position model. The record is from RNAcentral.
UACGAAGGGGGCUAGCGUUGCUCGGAAUCACUGGGCGUAAAGCGCACGUAGGCGGACUCUUAAGUCGGUGGUGAAAUCCUGGAGCUCAACUCCAGAACUGCCUUCGAUACUGAGAGUCUCGAGUCCGAGAGAGGUGAGUGGAACUGCGAGUGUAGAGGUGAAAUUCGUAGAUAUCAGGAAGAACACCCGUGGCUAAGGCGGCUCUCUAGUACGGUACUGACGCUGAGACGCGAAAGCGUGGGGAGCGAACAGG